AACGAACGCUGGCGGCAUGCCUAACACAUGCAAGUCGAACGAGACCUUCGGGUCUAGUGGCGCACGGGUGCGUAACGCGUGGGAACCUGCCCUUAGGUUCGGAAUAACUCCCCGAAAGGGGUGCUAAUACCGGAUAAUGUCUUCGGACCAAAGAUUUAUCGCCUUUGGAUGGGCCCGCGUUGGAUUAGCUAGUUGGUAGGGUAAAAGCCUACCAAGGCGACGAUCCAUAGCUGGUCUGAGAGGAUGAUCAGCCACACUGGGACUGAGACACGGCCCAGACACCGAGGAGUGUCAGCAGUAGGGCAACUGCCGCAACGGGCGAAAGCGUGUGGGAGCAAAGCCGAGUGAGUGAGGAAGGUUUUCUGACCGGAAAACUCUGUUAUUGGGGAAGAAAAAAUGUCUAAGUAAAUAUGCACGCCUUGACGGGACAUAAUCAGAAAGCCACGGCUAACUACGUG
RNAcentral lists this ribosomal RNA (458 nucleotides) under uncultured bacterium. Its description in RNAcentral is "partial 16S ribosomal RNA". It matches the Rfam family "Bacterial small subunit ribosomal RNA", at positions 29 to 507 of the family's 1533-position model. The record is from RNAcentral.